UUUACAGUCUCGUCGGCGUAUCCUGUCUCAAGCAUUUAGCAAUGGGAUUGGAACCUGCGACGUGUGACUGUGACUGUCAUCUGAGUACUGAAAUUUGCUGCCACGCAUGAUCCUGAUUUGCCAGAAGAGCAUCUGUUUGGAGAUCAGAUGACAAAGUAUAAACAGCGUAAUGAAAUUGAAACUGUCAUGUGAAACAGUCUCAGUUUAGGAAGAUGACUUUAAAUAUAGCAUAUUCGAAUUUUGAUUUGAGAAAAAGACAUAAAUCCACAAUUUGACAAAUAUGAAUAUAUCAACUGCUUUCAGUUUUUCAAGAGAAAUAGAUUUUGUUACAGAAUCUAGUAUGUUUAGUUUGGAAUAAAUGUUCUUUUUAAAUGUGUCAGAUCUUGCAUGUUUACGUAGACCUGUAUUAAGGUCUUCCAUUUCUAAGGGAAGGCAUACUAAUGUUAAUGGUUAAGAUGAUAAAGCUCUGUCUUCAGCAGCAAAAGAUAUUAUAUAUGUAUUUUUACAGUAUUAUGGAAGGAAAGUUACUAUCUUGGCACAAACAACUACACCAUUAACAUAUGUGCAUUUUUCAGCACAAAGGACAUGUACAUGUUGUUUCAAACAUAAGAUCAAAGAGAUGUCAAAUUAUAUUUAAAAGUCAACAAAGUACUAAAUCUGUAUACAGUUUAACUCAUAUGAGCUAAUGCUGUAGUAAUUUUUUUUAAAUAAAAGUCACCCAUUAUCA
Saccostrea cuccullata (small rock oyster) is the source of this 727-nucleotide long non-coding RNA. RefSeq lists it as uncharacterized. NCBI's taxonomy places the organism in Eukaryota, Metazoa, Mollusca, Bivalvia, Ostreida, Ostreidae. The record is from RefSeq and is a predicted model, not a curated record. The transcript has 2 exons.